GACGAACGCUGGCGGCGUGCUUAACACAUGCAAGUCGAACGGUAAGGCCCUUCGGGGUACACGAGUGGCGAACGGGUGAGUAACACGUGGGUGAUCUGCCCUGCACUUCGGGAUAAGCCUGGGAAACUGGGUCUAAUACCGGAUAGGACCACUGCCUGCAUGGGCGGUAGUGGAAAGCUUUUGCGGUGUGGGAUGGGCCCGCGGCCUAUCAGCUUGUUGGUGGGGUGAUGGCCUACCAAGGCGACGACGGGUAGCCGGCCUGAGAGGGCGACCGGCCACACUGGGACUGAGAUACGGCCCAGAUUCCUACGGGGGGCAGCAGUGGGGAAUAUUGCACAAUGGGCGCAAGCCUGAUGCAGCGACGCCGCGUGGGGGAUGACGGCCUUCGGGUUGUAAACCUCUUUCAGCACCGACGAAGCGCAAGUGACGGUAGGUGCAGAAGAAGGACCGGCCAACUACGUGCCAGCCGCCGCGGUAA
This 478-nucleotide ribosomal RNA is filed under the name uncultured bacterium. Its description in RNAcentral is "partial 16S ribosomal RNA". It matches the Rfam family "Bacterial small subunit ribosomal RNA", at positions 28 to 523 of the family's 1533-position model. The record is from RNAcentral.